This 229-nucleotide ribosomal RNA is filed under the name uncultured bacterium. RNAcentral describes it as "partial 16S ribosomal RNA". It matches the Rfam family "Bacterial small subunit ribosomal RNA", at positions 568 to 796 of the family's 1533-position model. The record is from RNAcentral.
UGCGUAGGCGGAAUAUUAAGUCAGUGGUGAAAUCCUGCGGCUCAACCGUAGAACUGCCAUUGAUACUGAUAUUCUUGAAUGUAGUUGAGGUAGGCGGAAUGUGUAAUGUAGCGGUGAAAUGCUUAGAUAUUACACAGAACACCGAUUGCGAAGGCAGCGUACUAAACUAUGAUUGACGCUGAGGCACGAAAGCGUGGGGAGCGAACAGGAUUAGAUACCCUGGUAGUCC